Molecule: long non-coding RNA, 296 nt
Filed under: Setaria viridis
Lineage: Eukaryota; Viridiplantae; Streptophyta; Magnoliopsida; Poales; Poaceae
Description: long non-coding RNA (SVIR_LNC001583)
Source: RNAcentral
UAGGACUCAUACCAUGUAAUCCUAUUAGAACUCCUUGUAACUGACUAGUGAUCCUGCCCCCUGGAGUAUAUAUAGGAGGGUAGGAGUCCCUAGAUCGGUAGGCUAAGACCUCAUAGAACCACAACAGAGGACUAAAUCCUCAAUACCAAAUAACACCCAAGCGCAGGGCGCAAUAUACAACACCACAAAUAGGACGUAUGGUAUUACGCUUCUCUGGCGGCCCGAACCUGUAUAAAUCUGUGUCUUGUGUCCUCGCUUUUACCAUCAAGUUCCAGGCCCGACGAUCCCCCACUGAC